Molecule: long non-coding RNA, 787 nt
Filed under: Chloebia gouldiae (Gouldian finch)
Lineage: Eukaryota; Metazoa; Chordata; Aves; Passeriformes; Passeridae
Description: Erythrura gouldiae (Gouldian finch) lncRNA (ENSEGOG00005010382.1)
Source: RNAcentral
UGUACAUAUCAAAAUCUGCAAGAAAGUAAAACGAACUCAUUAUUUAUUUUAGAAACAUGAUGUAUGUGUUAUAUAUAGAAUUUCUAAAUGCUUGAUGAUGAGAAAGCUGCAAACUAAGUCAGAUACAGCACUGACCUAGAAAGCAUUGAGACCCUGCACUAUAUGUGAUAAGUACAAAUGCUUUUCUAACUUUAUUUACUUUUAACUUGCUGGCCGAUCUUUUCUUUUGUGUGAUAGAAUCAGCUCCUAAAGUGUACCGUGGCCUACAUCUGUGAAUUUAAACUAAGGAAAUGAUACUUAAAAGUGGAUCUGUGAUCGUGCCUGCUGCUCCUUUGGAUGCAUAAACAUCAGACCUUUAUUCUCAUUGCUGCAUCCAUUGCUGUCUUGGGGCAGUGAAGAGGGCUCCUGUUUGCCUCUCUGCACAGUUUCACUGAAAUUGAAUCAUCUCCAAUGUAUCUGCCAAACCCUGGCUAAAGACAAGAAGGUCUGAACACAGCAAGAACUCAGUAAGGAGAACCAUGCACUUGUGAAAGGAAGAAGCCCUGGAACUGAGGCUGAACACCCAUCUGGUCAGCAGGAGAUCAGAAGUCAUGUUCAGCUCCCAGCAACCUGCCUGUCAGCCUGGAACGUUGCUGUAAAAUCCAUGCAGUUAUGCAGCAAAGCCUCCAGCCAGAUGAAAUUUGUAUGUGUGAGGAGUUUGUGCUGGUUGGAAAUACCUGAAAUAUUGCAGUUACCUGUUGGUUGAAGAACAAGCAUCCAUGAAUAAAUGUAAUUUUGAAUUGUCCCA